This 464-nucleotide ribosomal RNA is filed under the name uncultured bacterium. RNAcentral describes it as "partial 16S ribosomal RNA". It matches the Rfam family "Bacterial small subunit ribosomal RNA", at positions 28 to 507 of the family's 1533-position model. The record is from RNAcentral.
GACGAACGCUGGCGGCGUGCUUAACACGUGCAAGUCGAACGAUGAACCGGUUUCGGCCGGGGAUUAGUGGCGAACGGGUGAGUAACACGUGGGCAAUCUGCCCUGCACUCUGGGAUAAGCCCGGGAAACUGGGUCUAAUACCGGAUACGACACUCCGAGGCAUCUUGGGGUGUGGAAAGUUCCGGCGGUGCAGGAUGAGCCCGCGGCCUAUCAGCUUGUUGGUGGGGUAAUGGCCUACCAAGGCGACGACGGGUAGCCGGCCUGAGAGGGUGACCGGCCACACUGGGACUGAGACACGGCCCAGACUCCUACGGGAGGCAGCAGUGGGGAAUAUUGCACAAUGGGCGAAAGCCUGAUGCAGCGACGCCGCGUGAGGGAUGACGGCCUUCGGGUUGUAAACCUCUUUCAGCAGGGAAGAAGCGAAAGUGACGGUACCUGCAGAAGAAGCACCGGCUAACUACGUG